AUCAAGUUUGAUAGAUAUCCUGUUCAAUACUUAUAAUAAACAAUACUUAAUUUUAAAACAGAAUGGUAAUCAAUUUUGAAUAAAAACCAGGGCAAAUUAGGCUCAUUCCAUGAAACUUACAACCAACAUUGUUAAUAUUCAAUUUAAAACCAUACAUAAUGGCAUAAUUGUUAAACUUGGUUCACAUCCACCAUUACAAAAAACAACAAAACCAUAAAUCCCAUACAAACCAAACUGCUAAAAAAAGGCCCUAUACAUCCACCACAAACAUUGCCUAACCAACAGCUCUAUGAACGAUCACCACUGCGCUCCACUGUUACCAUAAUAUCUAACACUGGCGGGUAAUAAAUCACAAAGUGCACUUUAUCACCUUCUUUCAAUUCCGCUGCCCUUACAUAGUCAAACCAUUCUCCAUACAAAUAUGUUUCAUUUUUUUUGGCCUCUUCUUCACAUUGCACUCAUAUGGGUACCCGUUGUCCACAUCAUUGAGGGUAAUCUCUGACAUUCCAGCUAGCCCACAUUUCUCUACUAUUUCUGCAGGAAUAUGCUGCACUCAUUGACAUACAAUAUCAGUUACAUUACUUCUCUCUAUAACACCAGUGUUCCAACAACUAUAGACUUUGAACACUGCUUACCAUAACAUUUGAGCAAAACUUCUUUACAUCAAGAACUUCACGAGUCCAGUACGCUUCUUCGUACUCUUCCUGUAUAGGACUCAUUUCCCUGAAAUUAAGACCACAUUUACAGCACAAUGCCAAAUAAAGACCACAUUUACAGCACAAUGCCAAUGACCCUUUCUAUAGGGAAAUGCUAACGAGUGCCCCAGGGGCACUCUUUAAGCAUUCCAAAUAAAGAAAAUGUUCUUUAAAAAAGUUUACCAUUUCAAUUUUCGAUGCAUUAAUUAGACAUAUUUCCAAGAAAAACUUCCUUUUUUUAAGCUCUUAAAGAGUGCCCCUAGAGCACUCGAUGAUCCGAUUGUUGACCACUUGUGUUUCGGUGAAAGAUAAGUAACUCAUUCCUAAUGCUUAUGAUUUAACAGAAAUUCUCUUAUGAUGCAUUGUGAUAACACAUCACAUAAUUUUGUAUAAAGUUUUCCUAUCAAAAGGGGAAUUACUUAUUGAAAUGCUGGUAUGCGUGUUGUGUUGGUGGCAUCAUGUGCUUUUAUACAAUGACAACAAUAAUGUAUAUAAAAAUCAUGAUGAAACAAUAAUCAUACGCAACAUGUACACCUAGACUACAAUAACAUUUCACCUUCACUCAUAAUACACAGAUGCACGGAUUCUCAUAUUACAUUCGCGGUACGUAAAAGCAAUUACGUGAAUGCGCAUCACACACCAUUGGAAAUUCAAUAUAAUGUAAAUUUAUGAGGAUUAAGUGUGGUAUUAAAGCACCUGUGUCGGUUUAUUUCUAUUUGCGGUGUCUGUUAUCAAUUAUCAAUCUACUACAUUAUUGUUCCGAGUUUUCUAAUAUAAAGAAAUUGAAUGCAACAACAUUGUUGUUCGAGGCAUCACGAUUCUUGCUCCUGUGAAUUCGCCAAAUACCGAUGGGAUCAACCCUGACUCCUGCACGAAGACACAGAUUGAGGCUACUUCCUUUUGGUUAGAUAACAACAAAAUAAGUUGGAGACUGGAUUCGGCUCUUAAGGAUGGAAAGCAAGCAAAAACAGACUGACAAUGCUGGCGAUGGAGCAAAUACCAAUCACGGGAUAGAAUCACUUACAAGUGCUAAUGAUGAAUAUGGCAUACAUGAAGUAUUGACUAACUAUCAUGACAAAGCUGUGAAUAAUUCUGAGGAUGGAGCUUUGAAUAAUCAAGAGGUCUUUGAUAAUGGGAAGUCAACAGAAUUUCAGGCUUCAUUGUUGAAUUCUGUUUUGUAAUAUACAUAUUUUGAUGGCAAAUACUAAUGCACUUAAUGAAAUUUCAGGCUUCAUUGUUGUUUGUUUACCUCGCUGUUGGGACUGGAAUCGUAACGUUCCUAUAGGUAUGUGUUGGAUGGUGACAGGAGAAAGACAAGCUGCGAGGAUUCGUAGUUUGUACUUGAAAACAAUAUUGAAAUAGGAUAUUGCGUUUUUCGACACUGAAACAAACACAGGAGAAGUAAUUGGUAGAACGUUUGGUGAAACAAUUCUCAUUCAACAUGCAACGGGAGAAAAGGUUGGCAAGUUUGAAUGUUGGUGGAAUUUUCCCUAUGGUUGUAUGCUGCAGCUUCAGAAUGUGUAAGCAUUGAACUGCAUCUUGACCAGGUUUUGAUUUUAUCUGACUUGGAAGCUGAUUAUAUCAACCCAUUUGAUGCUUCAUCUCGGAUUAACUACUUCAUUCUUCCAAAGUUUAUUGGAUAAUGAAUUUUAUGUGCACUAUGUCUCUUCACUGGCCACUGGCUCAUGUUUUUGCUCAAUCUGCCUCUUACUUGCUAUCAUGCCAUGCUAUGUAGAGGAAGAAGGAAGAAGAAUAAAGAGAAGAAAGAAGAAGGAGAGAGAGGACGCGGAAGAGAGAAGAAUGGAAGAGGAAGAGAGAGGUUAAGGAAUUGUAGAUUAAUGACGGAGGAACCGUUUUUGAAUUUGGAGAUGGUUAUAUAUUUUGAACAGGCUUCUGGAAAGGUAUAAUUUUUUAGCUUCUUGAAACAAAUCAUGUAUAUUUUUGAACUUUGUCUUUCAGCGUUUAGCAAAGAUCAUUUACUUAGAGGUUACCUUGAUUUCAAUUUUCUAUUGUCUUGGUCAUGUUCACACAAUUUGUUUACUUUAUUAUAGACUAAUGGAGAGUUCAUUAAUUGCAUCUUAUACUUACUUUGGUCCUCUUGGAUUUUAGUUACUUUAUCUACUAAUUCAGCCAUUCAGAUAAGCAAGACAGUUGAUGGAGAUAGUAUCCUACAUAAUGAUGGUAAAGGUAAGAAAUUUCAAACAAUACUUGGUGAAGACACACGAUGGGAAAUUAAAUGGGAGGAACUUCGUAUCGGGGAGCGUAUUUGUAUUGUUCGAGAUUAUGGUUUACCUCAAAGGGAAAGUUGUCACAUGAUCAGGCCUUGCAUAAAUACUGCAUAUCUUUGAAAGUGUUGAGUUUACGUAAAAAUUCGUAUAUCAAACAAUAUGUGCGUGGUUUGCAUUACAAGUAUGUGGCUGCAUACUUCUGAUAUAAUAUUUCUUCAAGUGAUUAUGAUUCCUCAUUGUGAAAGGGUAUAAAGAUGCGUGCCUUGAGUUUGGACCACGGGUUAGUAUCAUGGUCCCUUUGAUUUUACGAAAAAGGGAGCCUCAUGAGGUCGAGUUCAUUCAGGAAGUCUAGGAGGUAGUUCAAGCCCAUGAGAGAGUCAUCGGGAAAAAUGCUCAAUGAGUUUCUUUCAAAUGUGUUCCUCUCUACCUGGCUGUUAAUGUAAAAGAAGUUUUAACAAUGUGAGUCUUUUUGAGAGUGAAGGUUGUGAGGAUGUACUUAUUCAGCUUAUAUCCCUUGAUAUCGGUGCACUUAUUGCCAGAGCAAAAUACCUGGGAGAAUUCGAAGAUAGGAUGAAAGCCGUUCUUAACGGGUAUCCUUAAAAGAGCUCAAUAUGUUUUCAAUAUGGUUUAGAACGCAAACCUUCUGAUGUGCAGAAGUAUGUAAAGGUGUUUAUGGAAGUUGACACCGACAGGGAUGGGAAAAUCACCAGGGAGCAGGCACGCAGUCUAUUUUUAAGUUGGAGAUUACCGAUAGUUUCCUUGAUGUUAUUAAGGAGCAGCAGAUCAGUAGGGGUUAUUUGCUUGUGAACUUUAUGAAUUAAUAAUGGCAUAGAGUCUUAAUGGAUUGACAGUUGGAUUCUCACUUCCUGAUAAUCUAAUGGAAUCUCCGGCAAGGUCUGAAAGUGUAUUCUCUCUCAGGUAUUGGAGUGGCGCAGUUAAGAAAAGGGUCCUAUGAACUAAAGGAUGUUGCUCUACAAAAUGCAAUUUGUAAAGGGGUUGAAGUCGACAAUGACCUGAAAAAGUUAUACGGUGGCAAAGGGAGAAGUCGACGUAAUAGACAAACAAGAUGGUCAAAGUGUAUCUGUCGACCAUGUUGAGAAUUGAGACUUACACAAAAAUCUAUUGAAGAGUAAUUCAAUAUUCAGAAGUUGUUGUUAAUCAGAAGAAGAUGCUUCUGAUGUUCUGGUGUUGUUCAGAAGCAGUAGAGCUUCUGAGGUUAUUAAUCAGAAGCAGAUGCUUCUGAUGUUCUGGAGUUGAGUUUGUUAGUGUAGCUGUUAAGUUUAGUUAGUAAGAGUACUUUAGUAUUUUCUAGUAUUGUACUGUUUGUACCUUAAACUUGUUCACUAAGUUUAGUGAAUUAGGGCUUAGGAGGCAAUUUUUUUUCUUUUGUAUAAAUAGCCUUGUAGUAGCUAUCAUUUAUUAACAAUGCAAGUAGAAUAUACAUCUUUAUUCUCUCA
Molecule: long non-coding RNA, 4380 nt
Organism: Vicia villosa (hairy vetch)
Lineage: Eukaryota; Viridiplantae; Streptophyta; Magnoliopsida; Fabales; Fabaceae
Exons: 10
Source: RefSeq, a predicted model, not a curated record